AUUGAACGCUGGCGGCAUGCCUUACACAUGCAAGUCGAACGGCAGCACGGACUUCGGUCUGGUGGCGAGUGGCGAACGGGUGAGUAACAUAUCGGAACAUACCCUAGAGUGGGGGAUAACGUAGCGAAAGUUACGCUAAUACCGCAUACGAUCUAAGGAUGAAAGUGGGGGAUCUUCGGACCUCAUGCUCAUGGAGUGGCCGAUAUCUGAUUAGCUAGUUGGUGAGGUAAAGGCUCACCAAAGGCGACGAUCAGUAGCUGGUUUGAGAGAACGACCAGCCACACUGGAACUGAGACACGGUCCCAGACUCCUACGGAGGCAGCAGUGGGGAAUUUUGGACAAAUGGGGGCAACCCUGAUCCAGCAAUGCGCGUGAGUGAAGAAGGCUCGGUUGUAAGA
This 398-nucleotide ribosomal RNA is filed under the name uncultured bacterium. Its description in RNAcentral is "bacterial SSU rRNA". It matches the Rfam family "Bacterial small subunit ribosomal RNA", at positions 30 to 430 of the family's 1533-position model. The record is from RNAcentral.